Molecule: transfer RNA, 75 nt
Filed under: Thermosporothrix hazakensis
Lineage: Bacteria; Bacillati; Chloroflexota; Ktedonobacteria; Ktedonobacterales; Thermosporotrichaceae
Also listed under: 7 other names
Description: tRNA-Gly
Rfam family: tRNA
About the family: Transfer RNA (tRNA) molecules are approximately 80 nucleotides in length. Their secondary structure includes four short double-helical elements and three loops (D, anti-codon, and T loops).
Source: RNAcentral
GCGGGAGUGGCUCAGUGGUAGAGCGCUUCCUUGCCAAGGAAGAUGUCGCGGGUUCGAAUCCCGUCUCCCGCUCCA